GGAAUUAAGAGUGCUGUGGUACAGAGAAGCAGUGAAUCACUGGGAAGAAAGGGGAAGCUUUGUUUCAAAACAAGGGUAACAUCUAUUUUAAUCUACUUUCCAAAGCCAAGAAAAAACAUGAACAUUUGAAAAUGAUUCCCAGGGUGGAAAUAACUUUUUAAUGAUUUCUUUUUUUUUUUUUUCAAAAUACAAGACUUGAAGUACCUGAAUUUUUUUUUAAGUAUAAAAGGCAGGAGAUCAACUGUUAAACGUGUAAGUACUAUGUUGAGCUUCCAAAUGUGGAUGUUGAGUCUGUAGUCUUUAAAAGAAUGAUCUUUUAAAUGACAGUAAGGUAAGAUCAAAUGAAUGUGUUAAACUCCUUAUACUUUCUAUGAAAUCUAUGGAAAGUAAAAAUAUUAUAUAUUUUCACCAUUAUAAAAUACCAACAUUAGACCUUUAGAAAUUUAUACUGAAAUGAUACCUUUUUUGUGUCCUUGAAAAAUGCAUGUUUAUAACUUUUAAUUUAUGUUUAGAUUUAUUUAUUACCAAGAUCAUGAAGAAUUUAUAUUGUGAGGAAUCAAUUCUCAAAAAAUAAGAAUCAAAUUUUCUAUCCUUAUAGCAAUGUUAAGUGCAAGAAUAAAUGAAAAAACACAUUUUAAAGAACAUCACAAUUUUUUCACAUGUAUAAGAUAUGUUAUAGAAUCUUAGUUAUGAACAGAUUAAUAGGAAAAUUAUACAGAUUAAAUAUCUCUCAAGAAUGUAUCUUUUUAAUAUUACUCAUGAUAAAAUACAACUGAAUUACAAAUACCAAAUUUGUCUACUAAUUCGAGUUAUUAAGAAUACUAUAUUUGCAGAAUACGUUCAUGAUAGAGACAUAAUUCACAGAGAUAAAGUUUUUAAAUAAGUAAUCUAUGCAUGAUGACAGCAAAAUUAAUUAAAAAUCCAUUAGUUGGCUACUAUAUACUGUUAAUGUAAUGAAGCUAGGUAUCCUAUACCUUGUGUUACUUAUAAGAAUUGUAAAGUUCAUUCCUUUUGGAAUCUUUCUCUUUGGAACUAGAAAUAAAUUUUUAGCUAGAUUUCUGUUUUAUUCCUUCUUUUGUUGUGAUUUGUGCUUUCCUAAAGUAAAAGAUCAAAACAAGUACUUGCUAUAUACAAUCUUCAAUUUAAACUUUUGAGUGGCAGUCAGGAAUAGUUUUCAAAAGUUUCUGGUACAUUUCUGACUUUAGAAACCUGGGAUAGGAAUCCAUUGCCAUAUGCAUAUAUACUAUUUUCUGAGCCUCUUCAAAACAUGUUUGAGUGGGUUCCUGAAUGUUCCUGAUGAUAGUUUCUCUUGUUGAAUUGUCAAUGUUAAUCUGAAAAGGGAAAUUACAUGUAGAGCGUUAAGUAAGCACAAUUAAACAUGGACACGUAAAACGGGAAGGUUUCAUUUAUUCCCCCCUCCUUUUUAGUCCAGUAGGUAAUUUUGCUCACAGUGUUCAUAGAUAUCUAAAAAGAUUUAGCAGAGAUAUUUUUUUUUUUUUUUGCUUUUUAAAAGUAAAUAUCCACCUUCACAUCCCAAAGGAAUAAAGAAGCCACCUGGCCUAAGACCACAGGAGUCUCAGAAACCACACUCUACUUAGGAGGAUGCUGGUGGCUUUUUAGUGGAUGUCUGCAAACGAGGAAGCUUAUGAAACCAAGGCCUCUUUUUAAGGAAAGGGGAAGUUGGUUCUAUUUUAAAAUCUAUCUUCCUUAUUAGUUACAAAGAUUGUUUUCACUGAAUAUGCCCUGAAAUGGGAAGAAGGUGAGAAGAGGAGAAAUGGAGGGCAGAAGUGGUUGUCUAAGUAAACCAAAAAAAAUUUCCAAAUAAGAAUUUCAGAGAAUAAGUUACCAUCGUCUGUUCUUUUCCCUCAAUAGGAAUGUUCAUUUUUCAUUGUCUGCUAGGAAAAGUCUCAGUGAAUCUGUUUCAUUCACUGUAAAUGACUGGUGGUAAUCACAACGUGGAUGUUUGCUGGGUCUGUUGGUUUUAUGCGAAGGUGAACAGUAAUCUCUGGUGUGGUGGUGGAUUGCCACUGGGAUGUGCACAUGCCUAUUUAUGGCAUUUGUAGUUUCUGUUGGCAAGGACACUUUUUUUUUUUCUUUUUAACCUUCCUGGGAAUUAAGAUCAUCUAAUGAGAAACUUUGGAGCCAGACUGCCUAAGUUUGAAUACUAACAUUACCACUGUAAUGACACUGGGCAAGUUCGUUAACUUUACAAAUUCUUUUUUUUUUAAUCUAUAAAAUAAGGUUAGUAAUAUCAAAUUUAUAACAUAUUAGGAGAUACUGGGAUGUAAAGUGCCUGGCAUGUAUGGAUGAUUAACAGAUAUUAGUGUCAAAAGAUGCACUGAUUUCAUUUCCCAUCGGUUUUUACCUCUCUGGGGGACUGUGGCUGGAUGUAGGUCUUAUAAAGCUUCUUUGCCAUAGAAACUCUGCUCCACCGUGAGGCAAUUUUCUUAUAGGUUUCACAUGCCUUCCAGAAUUUAAUGUUCUCAUCACUGUGCUCCAUUUUUAAGUAUGCUGCAUAGACUACUGGACCAUCUAAAAGUAGUAGAGAAAUCAGUUUAUUUUUAUAGUUAAAAUUAUCAGAAAGUCUGAACAAUAUUUAAAAUGCAGCUUAAAACAAAAGUCUGAAUAUAAUCUCCCUAAUUAUUUAUCAAGCUUAAAACAAAAGUCUGAAUAAAAUCUCCCUAAUUAUUUAUCAAGUGAGUGUUUCAUAUCCAUAUCUGUAUCUAUCACACUCUUAAAUCUAUACAUCUGAGGCACAUUCAAACAAUCCAGUCAUCGGUGAGGUUAUCUCUUCAUUCUGAGUCACUCAGAGGAAAUUUCUCACCACUGUGGAUGGGUCUAUGACACAUAGGACAGGAGAUGUCACAGGGACCUAGAAAAAAGGCUUAAGCUGGGCAGGUAGGAAGAGCUCUGAUCAUGAUAAGAGAAAGCUAAGAACUCAAGCCAAACCGGUGGGUAAGAGCAGAGUGUAGAUUCUAAAAAGACAGGGCAGGGUUGGAAGAAAACUAUUCAAGCCAUGUGGAAGUGAUAUUCUUAUCAGGUUGUACAGCCUGAAGUGUUUCUGAAUAGGCAGUCAGUGCAGGAGAACACAGAUGAAAAUUAAGCUUCUUAUUCAUGGUUUAUGGUUCACAUCAGAAAUAGGGACCAGGCAAGGAAUGGAAUUCAGAUAGGAUAUUGGAAACUAUCUUGGAAUCUAGUACAGGGCAGUGAUUAUGUGGAGCAUGAUCAUCAAAUGACACUUGAUGUCAAGAUAGUUAUCCUCAGGUCUGGUCUUAAACUGCCUUUCUGGAAUGAGUAUAUAAGGACAAAGGUUGCAUGAGCUUUUCUUGAUUGUGGCACUAUUUUCUAGGAACUUCUGUUUGAAGAAGACAGCUUUCAAAAAUCUAACACAUGAAUCAGAAUUUUUGGGAAGACCAAGUACUCUCAAGGUUCACCAUGAAUACUUCGAGAUUAAUAUUAAACUUCUUUUGGUGUCUAUGAAGUCUGUUGACAUGCCUGAGCAAUCAAAUUGUUAAAUGACAAAACAACAAAGUAACUUUCUUUUCUUUUUCUUUUUCUUUUUUUGAUAUGGGGAAUUGAACCCAGGGAUGCUUAACCACUGAGCCACAUUUCCAGCCCUUUUUGAGAUGGGUCUUGUUAAAUUGCCUAGGGCCUGACUAAGUUGCUGAGGCUGGCUUUGAAUUUGCAACCAUAUAUACCACAUAAAAUAUAGUUAGCAUAGAUGCUUGAUGUGACAGCUUGCAGUAUUAUUCUCAGUUUUUCCCUUCCCUUCCUGCCUCAGCCUUCAGAAUUAUCUCAUCCUCUGGGAUUACAGGCAGAUGCCACUGCACCCAGCCAAAGUAACUUUUGAUAGAAAUGUGUGUAUAGACACGCUGAAUCCAUGACCAUUUAGACCCUGACUGCUAUCAUAGGAUUCUUUUUUUUUCCUAUUACAAAAAUCUGUGCAUAAUUUAAUGUGUACAACCUGAUGUGUUUGAAGUUAAGUGUAUACCUAUGAAACUGUCACCAUAAUCAAAGCCAUAAACAUAUCCAGAAAGUGAAAAGGGAUUUUGAUUAAUAAAACAUUGGUCAGUAGCAUUAACUAUUUGAAAAGUAAGCAUAAUUAAAUGGAAUGGAAAUAAUGAGUAAUCUAAUCAUGUUUUCCUCUAAGAGCUUAGAUCAAAUUUUCUAACACGAGAAAGUCAGACUUUUUGACUUCUUGGUUUCUAAUUACUCUGUCAGAAAUGAUACAGGAAUAAAGAUAACAAAGUAAUUUGUAUUCAAGAAAAAAAAAACUCAAAUAGAGGUAUAUACCUUCUAUGGAGGCAGUAUGGUUAUGGAAAGUUGGUAAUCUGCAAGAAAUAUAACAUCCUAAUAAUACACAAACUUAGACCAUGGCUUAAUAUUGUCAUGUGAGCAUAUGCAGCCUUCCUGAAAUUGGGCAGUAAGUUAUUUGACAGGAAUAUUACCUCAAUAUGGAGGACAUAUGAGAUGGGAGCAGAGCAUAUAUAGGUAUGUGACAUAGGAAAUGACAUAGACUAGAUGUUCCUGCCGAAAGGGGGAAUAUAUUUAAACUUAGAUUUCAAACAAAAAAUUUAUUUUCAUGCUAAAGUGACUUUAAAUUGUACCUUGCCUUACCAUAGGCACAGGAAAUGGAGCAGAGAACACAUGUAGCAACUGACCCUCCUAUUAAGGAAAUAGGCGAAUGAGUGGGAAAAGCAAAACAAACAAACAAACAAAUAAAAAAAACAACCAAAAAUUUAUUUCUGGUUUAACAUGUUAAGUUCAAGCUAGUGUUUUUCAGAAUAUAUUGAAAGAAACAGCUGUAUUUAAAAAUGAAUAAGCAUAUAGUUUGUAAUAAGAGAAAGUUUGACUUAAUGCUUAGUUAGGAACAGAAAAUAAGGUCCUUAAAAUAAAAAUUAAGAAAUGAGCUAGUGAAUAGGAAAAGAAAGAGCAUAUGUGAGACAGACAGAGAGACAAACAGACACCUGGUAAAAAUCCAUAGAUCAUGGAAUGAGAGUCAGCCAUAGUUCCUAGAGUGAUAAGUGGGUGGGGUGGAAAGAUGAUCUGGAAACCCCUAUUAGAUUCCACAUUGUAAUAUUCAGAUUUGUGUUUAUGUUUUGCUUGAUUUUGUAUUAAAAUGUUUAUGGAUUGUCAUUUUAGAGCCCACCUGCAUUUACACCUGCCUUCCUCGCUUCCCUCCUGAUGGAGAAGAAUGAGUUUCUGCUUCUUUUGAGGUUUGCCUAAUGUUUCCACAAUUCUCAAGACCUUUGCUAAUGAAGUAAUCUAUGUGUUGCUCUAUAUAGUUUUUAUGUUUUCUGAGUGAUCAUUUCCAUAUAUACUAUAUAAAAUAUAGUUAGCAUAGAUGCUUGAUGUGACAGCUUGCAGUAUUAUUCUCAGUUUUUCCCUGCCCUUCCUCUAAAGGCAUUAUAUUUCCCUAUCCCAUUUACAUCUGCACUGGCCAUUGAACUUGUGCUAGUCAAUAAAAUACAUGCAAAAGUGCUGUGUGUAGUUCCGAGAGAAUGGUUUAAGAACCCUCAUGUGGUUGGUUCUGCUUCUCCCUUCCUUAUGAAGAGAAUGUAUCCUAGAAAAAAAGCUGCUCAUUUAGCCUAAAGGCUGGAAUGAGGACAGAGAAAAGAGUGAGAGCUGACCUUAGUUGCUGUGUAUCAUGAGCAAGGAAGGGACCUUUCUUACUGUAACUCAUCGGGAUUUUAAUGUCAUUUGUUACUCUAUCAUAACUUAGCAGAAGCUGACCUGGAUGACUCGAACCCAUCUGAUAUUUCAGAUGUGAUUCUGAUGCGUGGAAUGAGUAGACUUAUGUGAUUGGUAUGUUUUGCAGAAUUCUGUAUACAUUAGGUUAAUUUUUGUCUGAGUAUGCUACAUGUUAUCCAAACAAGCCGCUGAGAGUGCAUUUAUGUAAAACUGUUUCAGGAAUCAUAGUAAAUAUUAAAUUCAUACUUAAAUUACCAGUUUAGAAUUUGGUUGAUGCAUGUACCACAUGAAUCAUAAUGUAAAAAAGUCUUUCCCAAAUCAGACAAUCGAACCCAAUGUGGCCCAUUCUGAAUCUUUAAAUUACAAUCAUUCCUGAGCACUAUGCUCAGGAGACCAUGAUUCUGCUGCAGAAGAGUGAUUCAAGGCUAAGCAACAGAAUUGCUCACUUAAGUUGAGAGGGUGGCAGAAAUAGGUUUAUGGCAUAUGUGGGGUAUACCUUUUCCUUGAAGAAUCAGAGUGUUGCUUUUGGAAAUCUCUAACUUGCCCUUUUAAAAGUAGUCACUAAAAUUAGUACUCCUAUGACACACAAGAUGACACAUGACAUCGUUUCUUGAUGCAGUAGAAAAACAUGGAAUUUCUUUCUUUUUUUAAGUUGUUGAUGAACCUUUAUUUUUAUUUAUUUAUAUGUGGUGCUAAGAAUUGAACCCAGUGCCUCACACUUGCUAGGCAAGUGCUUUACCACUGAGCCACAACCCCAGCCCAUGGAAUUUCUUGACUGAAUCAGAAUGGUGGUCUAUCUUAUUCCAGGAUCAUGUUUUUCUGUAAGAUGUCAAGUCUUGUACCAUGUAUUAAGUCCUAAAAGUGAGCUAUGUCCAUUAGAAAUAUGUCCAAACCAAUUUUAAAUUCACCUUUUAAUUUUAAAUCUGUAUCACUGGAGAUAUAAUAAAUUCCAUAAUUCUACCAGAAUCUGUGUGAAGUUUUAUAGUAAAUCUUCCUGUUUUAUUAAAAUUUUCUGGUUUGGUUUCUAGGAUAUUAAUCAUUUCUAAUCUUGCUCCUACUUUUUCUUUGCUGUGUUAUUAUAAAAGUAGUUUAAAAUGCUAUGUUAUUAACACAGAAAAUAUCUAAUAAAG
RNAcentral lists this long non-coding RNA (6821 nucleotides) under Marmota monax (woodchuck). Lineage: Eukaryota; Metazoa; Chordata; Mammalia; Rodentia; Sciuridae. The record is from RNAcentral.